UGAGCAGACAUAUUUCUAAAUUGGUCACUCUAAGGAUGGUUGUGAAUUAGUUUUAUUCCAAAUGGGAAAGCAGUGAUUUUUCUACAUAAAAUAUUUAACGGACAACAACUCUCUGUGUUGUUAUUCAUAUCACAAGGUUCAAGAACGAUAUCCUAAUCUUUAACGAACUACAUACACACCAUUACUAUUUUGUAAUAUUAUUUCAAAAUAUAAAAUUAUUUGUAAAUUUUUAGAUACAAAUUUUACUUCAAAUAAAUUGUACGUUGUUUUGUUUUUCAUGCUUCAAUUUUUUUAUAAUUCGGAUUUUUUUUCACACUCUUUGCCAUGAGCAAACUACACAUAGGUUAUUCACAGGGAUAUCAGUUCUUUUUUUUCUAUUUUGCAGAAGUAUUUAACGCUCAGGCACAUAUACCAGGAAAGUUAUCUCUCCAGUUUGAUGUUGAACUAAAAAACAAAUUCCAAAUAAAAAAGUUAGAGGAUAGCUUACUUCUGCUUGACUGUGCAACUGUCAAUAACAAGUUUAUUUUCACCGACAAUUGUGACAAAAGAUUAGUUGUACACAAUAGCGACGGAACUUACUACCGAGAUAUCAAACUGUCAGAUAAACCCUUGUGCAUAUCAGCAAUAAAUGACAGUUAUGUAGUUCUCACAUUCAAAACACCGUACAUGCAGAUUAUAAAUAUAAACACAGGACAAGUACAGAAUGUUAUUAAAACAAACGGUCAAAAGUGCCUUUGGUAUCCUAUCGAAAUGAACUAUUGUAUGCGAAUAUCGACAAGAAAAAGAUUGAUGUAUUGAAUCUGAAAGGGGAAAUAAUAAAUUCAUUUAAUUCUCCAUCAUCUGUAUGGUACAUUGCAACUGCUAAAAGUAGAUUGGUCAUGAUUGAUCCCACACAAGAUGCGUUGUACUGCUGCGACCUGCAAGGAUCAGUCCUAUGGAAGUUUACUGAUCAGAAGAUAAAGCGUCCAUACAACGUUACAACAGAUGGGAAUGGAAAUACAUAUGUAGUUUGCACCUUAUCUCACAAUGUUGUAGUGGUUUCAUCUGAUGAUGUAUUCCAGAUAUGUUCCACUGCAUAAACAACUCAGUAUUGAUAUACACGGUAUGGGUACCUCUGAAGGCGUCUUUAAUGUAACUCGUUUUGCUGACCAACUGACAUGAACCUAACACCUCCUGUUAGUAAUAUUUUGAUGAAAAUUAUAGCGUUCCUACUUCGUUUCCAACAAAUAACAGUAAUGUUCCAUUUGAAAUUUUUUUUUUUUUUUUGGAUUGUAUAUAGUCAAUGCACAUUUUAACAUGGAUUUUUUUUAAAUAUCAACCAUGCCAGAUAAAGGGUGUGGCACGCAUAGUUUCAGAAAAGCUUUAAACUUUGUCAGUUAUCACACUUUUAUGAAUAAAUGAAAAAAUAAUAUU
This is a long non-coding RNA of Mytilus californianus (California mussel), 1413 nucleotides long. RefSeq lists it as uncharacterized. The record is from RefSeq and is a predicted model, not a curated record. Lineage: Eukaryota; Metazoa; Mollusca; Bivalvia; Mytilida; Mytilidae. The transcript has 2 exons.